AAACUUUCAACAACGGAUCUCUUGGUUCUCGCAUCGAUGAAGAACGCAGCGAAAUGCGAUAAGUAAUGCGAAUUGCAGAAUUCAGUGAAUCAUCGAAUCUUUGAACGCACAUUGCGCCCCUUGGUAUUCCGAGGGGCAUGCCUGUUCGAGCGUCAUUA
RNAcentral lists this ribosomal RNA (158 nucleotides) under uncultured fungus. Its description in RNAcentral is "5.8S ribosomal RNA". It matches the Rfam family "5.8S ribosomal RNA". Rfam says of the family: 5.8S ribosomal RNA (5.8S rRNA) is a component of the large subunit of the eukaryotic ribosome. Lineage: Eukaryota; Fungi. The record is from RNAcentral.